UCUCAUUUUGUAAAUAGUGGAAGAUGGUC
This 29-nucleotide non-coding RNA is filed under the name Rattus norvegicus (Norway rat). The record is from RNAcentral. Lineage: Eukaryota; Metazoa; Chordata; Mammalia; Rodentia; Muridae.